This 345-nucleotide unclassified non-coding RNA is filed under the name Hevea brasiliensis (rubber tree). The record is from RNAcentral. Lineage: Eukaryota; Viridiplantae; Streptophyta; Magnoliopsida; Malpighiales; Euphorbiaceae.
GGUACAUCAGAAUCCACAAAUUGAGAAGUAGAGUUUAUAUUAAAUGGCAAUUUUUGGCAUCAAAAUGACUGCUGAAUAUUUUACCUAAAAUAAUGAUAGAAUAAUAACUUUCUUCAUGUUAAAAUGAAAUGAAGAAGAAAAGCGAAUUAGGAUUUCUACAUUACUGUGUGAUGCAAGACCUUCAAUUCAACUACUGAUUUUAGAAGGAAAUUUAGGAAGUAAAAUUUACCUGGAAGUUGGUUUAGCAUUCCUAAUUUGUUUUGGUUUAUUAUUUUAUUGUUUCAGGAUUCCUAAUACUAGUGCUAGCAGGAUUAACAAUUAUACUAUAAAUACCUAUGUCCUCUA